RNAcentral lists this ribosomal RNA (515 nucleotides) under uncultured bacterium. RNAcentral's name for it is "partial 16S ribosomal RNA". It matches the Rfam family "Bacterial small subunit ribosomal RNA", at positions 28 to 523 of the family's 1533-position model. The record is from RNAcentral.
GAUGAACGCUGGCGGCGUGCCUAAUACAGGCAAGUCGAGCGAAUGGAUUAAGAGCUUGCUCUUAUGAAGUUAGCGGCGGACGGGUGAGUAACACGUGGGUAACCUGCCCAUAAGACUGGGAUAACUCCGGGAAACCGGGGCUAAUACCGGAUAACAUUUUGAACCGCAUGGUUCGAAAUUGAAAGGCGGCUUCGGCUGUCACUUAUGGAUGGACCCGCGUCGCAUUAGCUAGUUGGUGAGGUAACGGCUCACCAAGGCAAUGAUGCGUAGCCGACCUGAGAGGGUGAUCGGCCACACUGGGACUGAGACACGGCCCAGACUCCUACGGGAGGCAGCAGUAGGGAAUCUUCCGCAAUGGACGAAAGUCUGACGGAGCAACGCCGCGUGAGUGAUGAAGGCUUUCGGGUCGUAAAACUCUGUUGUUAGGGAAGAACAAGUGCUAGUUGAAUAAGCUGGCACCUUGACGGUACCUAACCAGAAGGCCACGGCUAACUACGUGCCAGCCGCCGCCGUAA